RNAcentral lists this long non-coding RNA (1061 nucleotides) under Cottoperca gobio. Its description in RNAcentral is "lncRNA (ENSCGOG00000016648.1)". The record is from RNAcentral. Lineage: Eukaryota; Metazoa; Chordata; Actinopteri; Perciformes; Bovichtidae.
UUGUCACUUUUCAGUUUUCCAUUGCUUCAGCAGAAAGCAAUUCCAAUGAAAACUGUAAAAUGUCAUUAUUAUAUAAUAUGGGUGAUUCAAGUUAACUGUUAGGAAGGUUUUCAGUCAGAUACCAAACGAUGAUUACUUCUGUAAUAUUAUAGCCACAUUUCCUGUUUCUGGUGUUUGAUAGAGAUGUUGGAGUAGAUCAGCCUUGUAGCCUGUAAGGGUGUACAAUGUCGGCCCUCAAGACACACAAGCAGUAAGAUUGAAGUAUGUGGCGAAAGGCGUGUACUUUAGAAUAGUUCCAGCCAGUUUUCCUGUUGUGGUGUGUGCAGCCAGAGGCCUGUGCAUGAUUUCUUUCUUUUUCAAAGUGUUCUCUGCUCUGUGCUACUGACAUCUGGUAAUGGCUGAGAGCAACAGAUAAGGAAAGUGUUUAUCUGUGAGGGACUCUGUGACGGACUGUUGAUUGGGGCCUGUAGGCAGCUGGAGGCUGGAGGAAUGGCCAUGAGAAAAGUUAGUAUGGAUAUGCAUGGUCCUCAGAGGCCAAGAAGUUUACUGAUUACACUUCUGCUCCCCAGAGGAUGAACCCCAGAACAAAAUAUACAUGCAAGCUGAUGGCAGCGGUGUGUGGUUGUGGAGUGGACGCUGUCGCAGCAGGAAAAGACGUUGCCCAUUAGCAGCAAUGUAUAAGGCCUUGUGUUGUUUGAUUAAUCCAUCAUACCCCUCAAAACAUUUUUUUAGAAUUUGUACAAACAGUAUUCAUUCCUUUUUUCUAAAAAUAAAUAAUCUGUUCUGUCGUGGAAAUGUAUCAUAUAGUCUCCUAGUUAUAUUUGGUCUCUAUAAAGCCUUACAGUCACUAACCCUGUGUUUUCUCACACGUGUCUGAUGUCUGUCUGCUAACAUUUGACAGACAGUAGCUGCCACUGUGACCAUAUUGUCAAGCAAUUAGCAGACGGAUGUUAACUGUUGUAAUUCAAAUGUGUCUUUGUUCCUUUGUUUCGAUUUGGUAGACAGAAAUGUGUAUUACCUGAUCCUUCCCAAGCUACUCUACUGUCUGCUGUCGGGUGCAC